GUCGAACGGUAACAGGUCUUCGGACGCUGACGAGUGGCGAACGGGUGAGUAAUACAUCGGAACGUGCCCAGUCGUGGGGGAUAACUACUCGAAAGAGUAGCUAAUACCGCAUACGAUCUGAGGAUGAAAGCGGGGGACCUUCGGGCCUCGCGCGAUUGGAGCGGCCGAUGGCAGAUUAGGUAGUUGGUGGGAUAAAAGCUUACCAAGCCGACGAUCUGUAGCUGGUCUGAGAGGACGACCAGCCACACUGGGACUGAGACACGGCCCAGACUCCUACGGGAGGCAGCAGUGGGGAAUUUUGGACAAUGGGCGAAAGCCUGAUCCAGCAAUGCCGCGUGCAGGAUGAAGGCCUUCGGGUUGUAAACUGCUUUUGUACGGAACGAAAAAGCUCCUUCUAAUACGAGAGGCCCAUGACGGUACCGUAAGAAUAAGCACCGGCUAACUACGUGCCAGCAGCCGCGGUAAUACGUAGGGUGCGAGCGUUAAUCGGAAUUACUGGGCGUAAAGCGUGCGCAGGCGGUUAUGUAAGACAGAUGUGAAAUCCCCGGGCUCAACCUGGGAACU
Molecule: ribosomal RNA, 564 nt
Filed under: Delftia sp. JC286
Lineage: Bacteria; Pseudomonadati; Pseudomonadota; Betaproteobacteria; Burkholderiales; Comamonadaceae
Description: bacterial SSU rRNA
Rfam family: Bacterial small subunit ribosomal RNA
Source: RNAcentral